GGCGUACUCGUCUCCCUUCCGUCCUGCUUCCUCAGCCCUGGAGCUCCGCGGGACUUGGGUGGGUCUCGACCGCGGCGGCACCCGCGGAGGCGGUAGUGACAGCGACUGCGUGAGACUCGGGGGGAAAUGGCGAUGGCGAUGUCGGACAGUGGGGCGAGCCGUCUGCGGCGGCAGCUGGAAUCGGGGGGUUUUGAGGCCCGGCUGUACGUGAAGCAGCUCUCGCAGCAGUCGGACGGGGACCGGGACCUGCAGGAGCACCGGCAGCGCAUCCAGGCGCUGGCGGAGGAGACGGCGCAAAACCUGAAGCGCAACGUCUACCAGAACUACCGGCAGUUCAUAGAGACUGCCCGCGAGAUCUCCUACCUGGAGAGCGAGAUGUAUCAGCUCAGCCAUCUGCUGACGGAGCAGAAGAGCAGCCUGGAGAGCAUUCCGCUUACCCUGCUCCCGGCUGCCGCCGCCGCCGCCGGGGCCGCCGCGGCCUCUGGAGGAGAGGAAGGAGGAGGUGGCGCGGGGGGCCGAGACCACCUGCGGGGCCAGGCUGGCUUUUUUCCUACACCCGGGGGCGCCUCCCGCGACGGUGCGGGUCCGGGCGAGGAAGGGAAGCAGCGCACUCUUACCACCCUGCUUGAGAAGGUGGAAGGUUGCAGGCACCUGCUGGAGACGCCGGGGCAGUACCUGGUGUACAACGGGGAUUUGGUGGAAUACGAGGCGGACCACAUGGCCCAACUGCAGCGGGUGCACGGCUUUCUCAUGAACGACUGUUUGCUGGUGGCCACCUGGCUGCCUCAGAGGCGUGGGAUGUAUCGCUACAACGCCCUCUAUCCCCUGGAUGGUUUGGCCGUGGUCAAUGUCAAGGACAACCCGCCCAUGAAAGACAUGUUCAAGCUGCUAAUGUUUCCCGAGAGCCGUAUUUUUCAGGCGGAAAAUGCUAAAAUCAAACGAGAGUGGCUGGAAGUGCUGGAGGAAACCAAGAGGGCCCUCAGUGAAAAAAGACGCAGGGAACAGGAGGAGGCAGCGGCCCCACGAGGGCCACCGCAGGUGCCUUCCAAGGCCAGUAACCCAUUUGAGGACGAAGACGACGACGAACCAGCUGUUCCUGAGGUAGAAGAAGAGAAGGUGGACCUCUCAAUGGAGUGGAUCCAGGAGUUGCCUGAAGACCUGGAUGUCUGUAUCGCCCAGAGGGACUUUGAAGGGGCCGUUGACCUGCUGGACAAAUUGAACCAUUACCUGGAAGAUAAGCCCAGCCCACCGCCUGUUAAAGAACUAAGGGCCAAAGUGGAUGAGCGCAUCCGACAGCUCACGGAGGUGCUAGUUUUUGAACUCUCCCCAGAUCGUUCCCUGAGAGGUGGUCCCAAGGCUACUCGAAGGGCAGUUUCUCAACUAAUCCGGCUUGGCCAGUGCACAAAGGCUUGUGAGCUGUUUUUGAGAAACAGGGCAGCAGCUGUGCAUACCGCAAUCCGCCAGCUUCGCAUCGAGGGUGCCACUUUACUCUACAUCCAUAAGCUAUGCCACGUCUUCUUUACGAGCCUUCUUGAGACUGCAAGGGAAUUCGAGACGGAUUUUGCAGGCACUGACAGUGGCUGCUACUCUGCCUUUGUGGUCUGGGCGAGAUCAGCCAUGGGCAUGUUCGUGGAUGCUUUUAGCAAGCAGGUGUUUGACAGUAAGGAGAGCCUCUCUACAGCGGCUGAGUGUGUCAAAGUGGCCAAGGAGCACUGUCAGCAACUGGGUGACAUCGGACUGGACCUCACCUUCAUCAUCCAUGCCCUUCUGGUGAAAGACAUCCAAGGGGCCUUGCACAGUUACAAAGAAAUUAUCAUCGAAGCCACUAAACAUCGCAACUCUGAGGAGAUGUGGAGGAGGAUGAACUUGAUGACUCCAGAGGCCCUGGGCAAGCUCAAAGAGGAGAUGAAGAGUUGUGGGGUGAGGAACUUUGAGCAGUACACCGGGGACGACUGCUGGGUGAACCUGAGCUACACGGUGGUUGCUUUUACCAAACAGACCAUGGGCUUCUUGGAAGAGGCACUGAAGCUGUAUUUCCCCGAGCUGCACAUGGUACUUUUGGAGAGCCUGGUGGAGAUCAUUUUGGUCGCUGUGCAGCAUGUGGAUUAUAGCCUUCGGUGUGAGCAGGAUCCAGAGAAAAAGGCCUUUAUCAGACAGAAUGCAUCCUUUCUAUAUGAGACCGUCCUCCCCGUGGUGGAGAAAAGGUUUGAGGGAGGUGUGGGGAAACCUGCCAAGCAACUCCAGGACCUGAGGAACGCAUCUAGACUUAUUCGUGUGAACCCCGAAAGUACAACAUCAGUGGUCUGAUGCUCACGUCGUGGGUAUAUGUAUACGUAUAUGUUGCUCAUAUAUUAUUUAUAUUUAUAUAUUAAGUUGCAUUAGCAUAUUCUUUAUAGUCUCAAACACAGCUUAAAAAUAAAAGAUGCCCUCUCAAACAGAAAUGCAGAAUCAAAAGGAAAAAGAAAAGAAAGUUCCAAUUAAGCCCCAAUGACAAAACAUUGGAAUUGUUAAAAUACAUGCUUUCCUUUUAAGUUAUGCUAAGAAUAUGUUGUCAUACUGCAGCAUUUCAGUGUAUCCUUUGAGUCAAAACACACUUCCUUACAGUAUAUUUUAUGCAGCACAGAGAAAUCCUAUCUAAAAUACAUAGGGUUUAAGUAUGUUGUGAAGUUUCCCCGUUGACUAAAAUGUUAGGUUUCUUAAAGAGUACAGUUCCAUACAAAACACCCUGGUUCAUAUACUUCCCCACCUUAAAAUGUGAUUGAACAACUUUGGGAAAAGAAAGGAAUUGAGAAGAUUGGUUUUAGGGUACAUUUUGGUCAAAAGAAUUCCUUCUUAAAAGUGGCUAGUUUGUGGACUCCAGUACUUGGAACCUUCUAGAAUACAAGGGGGAGCUUUCAUAAAAACAGUUCAGCAAACAUUUCCAACGUCAUUUGAAUGGCUGAUUAUUUUGAGCUGCUAAUUAGCAGCUUUAUGAUACUUGAUUUGGGAGCAUUUACUUGAAUCUUAAGGACUAUGGUAAAAAACAUUUUCAACAUGUUCCUGAACUGUGUGAAUUUCCAGCUGGAGCUUUUGUCUUUAUCAUAUUAAAAAAAUAAAAAUGAUUAAAGAAGCAGGACAGACUGAGGAACCUGGCAACCGCCAGUGAUUUUUAGCUGCCUCCCCCGGUUUUUUCCGUGUAAAUUAUAUAGUGGCUCAGACUUCAUGCAAAUGGGAGAAAAGUAUACAUGGAAAUAUUUAUGUAGAUUUCAGGUCUGGGUGGAUGGGAAAAGAGAAAAAAUCAUAUGCACACCCUAUAGUGUUCUCAAGUAUGACUGCUUUGAGCAGAGAUCUGCUUUUGGGUUUUUUUGUAACAAAGUAGAGAACAAAAAAGUGAGACCGUGUGCCCAAAGCAAAGGGAGGAAACGAACUUUUGGUGACUCCUACUGCAUGUUUCAUGUUUUAUAUUUUCCUUUAUUCUUAAAAGUGAAUAUAAUGCUUCAGAUUGUUUAGUGAAACAAAAAUAGCUCAAGAUAUUUGAGCUUCCCAAGGUUUCUGAACUACUGUUUCUACUGUACCUUGAGCAUAUCUCUCAUCCGUGGAGAGAAAUUGUGCUCAGGUUCAUUUUUCCACUAGCUUUCAGUUGUGAUUCUUGUCCAAAAGUGCCAUUUCUGAUGCCACGGACUUCAAAAGGUCGUAUUUUUUUCCUGAAUUAAAAUAGUGAUAUUAAGACUGGAAAUUAGGUAAAACUUAAAAUUGCUUCCAAGAGUGGCUUAGGGUUGCGAAGCUCCUUGACGUCAUUACUCAUUGGCAGAGGAGCCCUUUUAUUUAUUUUUAGCGAUGCCUUUUAAGGGUGGAAAAUUAUCAGAGGUACAGAUUUUCUUUGAUUAAUUUUUCACAUACAGUUAGGAUUUUCUAGAUAACAAAAAAAAACAACUAUAAAUUGUCUUUUUUAAGAUCACUGGAAACAUGAAUUUGAUAAAAACUUUUACGAUUACUUUGUGCAACUUACGGUUUCUAAAAUUAUAUUGUGUGAAACACAUAGCGUGUAAAUAUUUGAUGUUGGGUCCAGGAAAUGAUACUUUGGAAGUCAAAACUUAAGGCAUGAAGUUGUAAAAACUUAAAUGUAUAUACUCAGAUAAUUCAAAUGGUUGCGUCUUCAUAGAACCGUUUGCUUUUUAAAACUGGAAGUACAGAAUUUUCUUCUGGUAAAAUCUGUGUGUUCCUUGAUCAGAGUUAUAGUUGUUGGUGAUUCAAUUACCGUGGGAAGUUGAUCAAAGACCACCACCAGUGUUACAGUGUACCUUUGUGCCAAGACAGAGCCAUUACAUUGCAUUCCCCAAAGUGGAGUCAGAGCUCUUCUCUAAUUCUUGUUUCCUUAGAUUCCCAAGUGCUAACAAUGGAAUGAAAUUGUCCAAAAAUACAUAGUACGUGCUGUAAUAUACCACCGAAGAGUUGAUUGCCUUUGCUUGUUUGCCUCAAACAGAACACUGUCGCUCGAGCUUGGAAUCACAGACUUGAUUGAAUUCAUUACUGUUGCAAAAAAGACACCCUGUGGUAUUAAGUCUCUCUUUGAUUAAAGCCUCAUUGAAUUUAAAGUGCUUAACACUCACUUUUCUUUAAAAUACUACCUAUAGUUAAAUUAUCGGCACUUGUAUUUUGCAACUUGCUUACCUGGGAUUGGGAAUUUGGGGCUCGACAUGUAGGAUAAAAUCAGUACAUGUACAUCUUGCUUAUUGAUAUGCUGUGAUACGAGGGAAUCUGAAAUGUUUUAUCAAAAUAAAGCUUAAAAUUUUUCUUACGCUGGAUAAAAUUGGUAUUACAAUGUUAUAUCUCUCUUCUUUAAUUAGGAUUCAGUAUUCUUACAUUCUUGUUACUGAAAUACUGUUUCAUGAGCCCAGGUUUUGUUUUUUUUGGUUUAUUUUUGUAUAUGGGGAUGAUAGGUAGGAAGCUGUUAGCUAAUUGAAAUAAGUGUUCUGCUUACUAUCCGAAUUGUGAUCAAAUCAGAUCUGUUUUUGGGGGACUCUCUUGAGUGGGAAAUUUCAGACACACAAAGUGUGAAUUGGCUCUAAAAAGUGGGUUUGAUGCCAUCUGCACAUCCUAAAUGAAGGAAAUAUAAUGUCGGCCAUGUGACCCAGGACCUAGGAACAUAAAUGACAAGGGUCUGUUUUUUUAAUACAUACAGAUCCUGCGGGAGCUUUCACAUAUGAUUGAUUUAAGAAGUAAAAGUAUUUGUUGAAUGCCGUGCCUCACAUGGACCAUAAUGCGGGGUGGGGAGGACAAAAUAAAUUUGAGCAUGCUUUCUCUGAAAUGCUUGAGACUUGGAAAAAAUAGAGAAUAAAAAAUUGGAAAAAAAUAGGUUGGAAAGGAAAUGAAAUACACAACAGUGUGAUGCAAAUUACGUCAAUUAAAUGAGUGCAGACAGCGUUGCAAAAAACCCCAAAGCCCUGUGUGUUGUCAUUUUCGUGCUCAGUAAUUUCGUGGGAAUACUGAGAAGGAAGAGGGCAGCAUUGUUUUGAGAAGUUUGGAGAGUCCUCAUGGAUUUGUUGGCCUUGGAGCUGGCCCUUGAAGGAUGGACAAGAUUUAAAUGCACAAAGGAAAAGGAAGAGCAAAGGUCCGGGAUGCAUUCUGAAAUACCAAAUGAAUCUUAGCGUCUGCUGAGCUCAUCGUGAUUUUUCUUCUACGUCAUAUUAAUUGGAUAAGUUUUUAAAAUCGAUUUCCUAACACUGAACCACACUUACACCCUGUGAAUUAAUUCUAUUUGGUUGCAAUAUAUAAUUGUUUUAAUAUACUGCCUGAUUCUAAUGAAGACUUCAUUCACAUUUUUGUAUCGGUAUCCAUUAGCAAUAUCGGUCUAUGAUGGUGUGUGUGUGCUUUGUCAUGCUUAUGUCAUUCAUGAGGUGCGCGGGGCCUGAUAAUAAUGAUAAUGAAAUGAUAAGACACAUUCUCAUUUCUUUCAGUCCCCAAACAGUGAGAAUGAAAAAUCAGACAGUGUGACACAGCUGGCUUGUAGCCCCUCAAAUCAGAAUUCGUCACUCUAAGCUUAUAGGACAGUUAGAGCUCUUACAAAAAGAGAUAAGGAGGCGUUCCAUUGACCCUCCUCUCCAUUCCAUUUUACUCUUUAACAGAGUUGUACGGGACAUGCAAGAUACAUGUAUGUUAAAUAUAUUCCCAUUAUGUUGAGAAACACAUGUAUGUUUUAAUCUCACACCACACAUACAGAAUAUUUGCAUUUCAUUUUUUCUCAUCGGCUUCCCUAGAGCAGUGUUGGGCAUAACAUAGACACUUGAUAAAUGCUGAUUAAUGAAUAUUAUUGACUGGAUGAUUCGAAUAACUAAUGACAGUUCUCGGUUAUGAAGGUCCUAGUUUGCACCGGGCCCUUUCCAGGCAUUAUCUCAUUUGACCCUCACAGUAACUCUGGAAGAUAGCAAUUGUUCUAGUCCUUGUCCAGCUAAGGAAAGAGACAGAGAGGUUGCUGUUUGGCCAAAGCAUCUCCCCACUGAGCAUGAGAGGCAGUGCUCAAGGCCAGGUCUGUUCAACGCCAAAGCAACAUUCUCUACACUCCACCUUUAACCCUACCACUACUAAUACACAGAAUUCUUUCAAAUUGGUGUUUCUUUGUACAUUUUCUGAAGAUGAAAUUUUCUUGUCAUGUGGCUCCAUCAAUAAGAAUCAGAAUAUUUAGGGCAUCUGGGUGGUUCAGUUAGUAGUUAAGCGUCUGAUCCUUGACUUCAGCUCAAGUCAUGAUCUCACAGUUCAUGAGAUCAAGUCCCACGUCGGGCUCUGCACUGACAGCACAGAGCCUGCCUGGGAUUCUCCCCCGCUCACACGUGCUCUCUCUCUGUCUCUCUAUAUAUAUCAAAAUAAAUAAACA
Molecule: RNA transcript, 6850 nt
Organism: Panthera uncia (snow leopard)
Lineage: Eukaryota; Metazoa; Chordata; Mammalia; Carnivora; Felidae
Gene: EXOC8
Gene name: exocyst complex component 8
Exons: 2
Source: RefSeq, a predicted model, not a curated record